CGCACGGGUGCGUAACGCGUAUGCAACCUACCAUCAACAGGGGGAUAACACUGAGAAAUUGGUACUAAUACCCCAUAAUAUCUCAUGCGGCAUCGCAUGGGGUUGAAAACUCCGGUGGUUGAUGAUGGGCAUGCGUUGUAUUAGCUGGUUGGUGAGGUAACGGCUCACCAAGGCGACGAUACAUAGGGGGACUGAGAGGUUAACCCCCCACAUUGGUACUGAGACACGGACCGAACUCCUACGGAAGGCAGCAG
RNAcentral lists this ribosomal RNA (254 nucleotides) under uncultured bacterium. Its description in RNAcentral is "partial 16S ribosomal RNA". It matches the Rfam family "Bacterial small subunit ribosomal RNA", at positions 99 to 354 of the family's 1533-position model. The record is from RNAcentral.